GCGACUAGGGGGCGGUGGGGGUCUCCGGGAAAACGAAGCCGUCAUCUGUGUGCCCAGGCCCACCCUGAGAUGCCCACUGGAUAGUACCCAGGGCGCCGGGCUCUCUGCUGCUGCUGUUCGUGCUGAGCCGCCUUCGCCGCCAGCGCCACGAUGAACCCGGCCGAGGGAGCAGCGGAGGAAGGGGCGCUUCCCGAUUCCGAGGUGGACGCCUUUUUCCGAACAGUUGCAUAAUGGCUGUA
RNAcentral lists this long non-coding RNA (239 nucleotides) under Salvator merianae (Argentine black and white tegu). RNAcentral's name for it is "lncRNA (ENSSMRG00000012374.1)". The record is from RNAcentral. Lineage: Eukaryota; Metazoa; Chordata; Lepidosauria; Squamata; Teiidae.